This 449-nucleotide ribosomal RNA is filed under the name uncultured bacterium. RNAcentral describes it as "bacterial SSU rRNA". It matches the Rfam family "Bacterial small subunit ribosomal RNA", at positions 346 to 802 of the family's 1533-position model. The record is from RNAcentral.
UGGCAGCAGUCGAGAAUAUUCGGCAAUGGGCGAAAGCCUGACCGAGCGACGCCGCGUGCAGGAAGAAGGUCUUCGGAUUGUAAACUGCUUUUUCCGUCCAAAAAGUCCGCAAGGAUUGAUGGUAGGCGGAGAAUAAGGCGCUGCAAACUACGUGCCAGCAGCCGCGGUAAUACGUAGGCGCCAAGCGUUAUCCGGAUUUAUUGGGCGUAAAGAGUGCGUAGGGGGUCUGAUGCGUUUUUUGUUAAAUUCCGACGCUUAACGUCGGACCUGCAAAGAAUACGAUUAGACUAGAGGAUGUGAGAGGUCAGCGGAACGCACGGUGUAGGGGUGAAAUCCGUUGAUAUCGUGCGGAACACCAAAGGCGAAGGCAGCUGACUGGCGCAUUACUGACCCCGAGGCACGAAAGCGUGGGGAGCAAAAAGGAUUAGAUACCCCAGUAGUCCAGUCCC